RNAcentral lists this unclassified non-coding RNA (289 nucleotides) under uncultured fungus. RNAcentral's name for it is "partial contains small subunit ribosomal RNA, internal transcribed spacer 1, and 5.8S ribosomal RNA". The stretch from base 1 to 73 matches the Rfam family "Eukaryotic small subunit ribosomal RNA", at positions 1759 to 1831 of the family's 1831-position model. Lineage: Eukaryota; Fungi. The record is from RNAcentral.
ACAAACUUGGUCAUUUAGAGGAAGUAAAAGUCGUAACAAGGUCUCCGUUGGUGAACCAGCGGAGGGAUCAUUACCAGAGAUGCCUUCAGGCUCUCCAACCCACUGUGAACAUACCUACGUUGCCCCGGUGUUGAGAAACGUUCGGCGGCCUCAGCGCCCCGCGCGUCCGCCGGGGGCCCCCAAACCCGAAUUUAUAGCGUGUCUUCUGAGGGGCGAAAGCCCGUAAAACAAAUAAAUCAAAACUUUCAACAACGGAUCUCUUGGCUCUGGCAUCGAUGAAGAACGCAGC